RNAcentral lists this non-coding RNA (93 nucleotides) under Ferroacidibacillus organovorans. RNAcentral describes it as "Acidibacillus ferrooxidans c-di-GMP sequence". It matches the Rfam family "c-di-GMP-I riboswitch aptamer". Rfam says of the family: GEMM was predicted in a large-scale screen for bacterial structured RNA regulatory elements. Genes associated with GEMM are involved in a diverse array of functions, including chemotaxis regulation, signal transduction, secretion and chitin. The record is from RNAcentral. Lineage: Bacteria; Bacillati; Bacillota; Bacilli; Caryophanales; Alicyclobacillaceae.
UUGCUAACCGGGCAAACCUUUCGAAAGAUCGAGACGCAAAGCUACGGACCUACUGCACGGGAAGUCGCGUGUUAUGGUGGCCGAGUUGCCGGA